This 290-nucleotide ribosomal RNA is filed under the name uncultured bacterium. RNAcentral's name for it is "partial 16S ribosomal RNA". It matches the Rfam family "Bacterial small subunit ribosomal RNA", at positions 29 to 289 of the family's 1533-position model. The record is from RNAcentral.
ACGAACGCUGGCGGCGUGCUUAAGACAUGCAAGUCGAGCGGGGGGACCCAGAGCAGCUUGCUGUGAGGGUUCCCUAGCGGCGGACGGGUGAGUAACGCGUGGGCAACCUACCCGCGAAUCGGGGACAACAGUGGGAAACCGCUGCUAACACCGGAUGAGCUUUUCUGACCGCAUGGUCGGGGAAGGAAAAGGCAGCCUCUGCAUAGCAAGCUGUCGUUCGCGGAUGGGCCCCGCGUCCCAUUAGCUAGUUGGUGGAGGUAACGGCCCACCAAGGCGACGAUGGGUAGCCG